GUCUACAGGCAUGCCUCCCUGAACAAGCCUGAUGUCUUAUCUCGGAAGCUAAGCAGGGUUGGGCCUGGUUAGUACUUGGAUAGGAGAGCACCUAGGAAGACCAAGUGCUGUAGGCA
Molecule: ribosomal RNA, 116 nt
Filed under: Pteropus alecto (black flying fox)
Lineage: Eukaryota; Metazoa; Chordata; Mammalia; Chiroptera; Pteropodidae
Source: RNAcentral